Small nucleolar RNA from Bactrocera tryoni, 138 nucleotides. RefSeq annotates it as small nucleolar RNA psi28S-1192. The transcript has a single exon. NCBI's taxonomy places the organism in Eukaryota, Metazoa, Arthropoda, Insecta, Diptera, Tephritidae. The record is from RefSeq and is a predicted model, not a curated record.
AAUUAGUCCUCUCUAAUGUAAAACAAUGAUCUUAUCAAAUUGUUUUGCCUCGCUUGUGGACAAUAUCAAAAUUUCUAUUAUCCUAGCGUCUAACCUUAGAUAAAUGGUGUGAUGCUCGAGAAACAUAGAAAAACAAUU